Molecule: ribosomal RNA, 274 nt
Filed under: uncultured bacterium
Lineage: Bacteria
Description: partial 16S ribosomal RNA
Rfam family: Archaeal small subunit ribosomal RNA
Source: RNAcentral
AAACCAGCACCUCAAGUUGUCAGGAUGAUUAUUGGGCCUAAAGCAUCCGUAGCCGGCUCUGUAAGUUUUCGGUUAAAUCUGUACGCUCAACGUACAGGCUGCCGGAAAUACUGCAAGGCUAGGGAGUGGGAGAAGUAGACGGUACUCGGGAGGAAGUGGUAAAAUGCUUUGAUCUCCCGAUGACCACCUGUGGCGAAGGCGGUCUACUAGAACACGUCCGACGGUGAGGGAUGAAAGCUGGGGGAGCAAACCGGAUUAGAAACCCCGGUAGUCC